RNAcentral lists this long non-coding RNA (498 nucleotides) under Physcomitrium patens. RNAcentral's name for it is "long non-coding RNA (PPAT_LNC009088)". The record is from RNAcentral. Lineage: Eukaryota; Viridiplantae; Streptophyta; Bryopsida; Funariales; Funariaceae.
AAUUUGGAUUUUUCUUCUUCGUAGAGUUUUGGGAAGACUGAGGCAAUCGCUGCUGAAGUCAGUGUUGUAAUAGUGAAUCGGGAUUUUUAAAUGAAGUGGGUUUGAAUACUCUUGACUGUUUUGUGAAAUCGAGUUACGUCUGUGAUUGAAGGAUAAAAAGGGUGUCUAUAGGAUUGAGUAUGCGGAGUGAAUGAAAUUUAUUGGGUUAAUCUAACAAGACAGUCAGUGGAUACAAGAUCGUAAGUACAAAGCAGUAUUGAAGGUUAACAGUUUGGGUUGUACGGGGUUCUCUGUAACGUCUAGAGACCUACCGGCUGGGGCAAAAAAAGGACUUUGACAAGCAGUCGAAGAGCACCCGUAUAGAUUUACGGUGUAUUCUUGCAGUCGUUUAUAUUCCAACAGUAAAAACUGAUAGACUGCUUGACUAUCGGCGGAUCUCCAUACUACCUUCUAUAGCCAGACGCCCAGCGCGUUCUCGAGCAGGAAAGCACGUAAUAC